CUCACCGGAAAGAGGUCAUCGGAAACUGGUCAACUUGAGUAGGGAAGAGGCAAGCGGAAUUCUUGGUGGAGCGGUGGAAUGUGUAGAUAUCAGGAAGAACAUCGGUGGCGAAGGCGGCUUGCUGGGCCCUUACUGACGCUGAGACUCGAAAGCGUGGGGAGCGAACGGGAUUAGAUACCCCGGUAGUCCACGCUGUAAACGGUGCGCACUAGGUGUGGGGGGUAUCGACCCCUCCCGUGCCGCAGUUAACACAUUAAGUGCGCCGCCUGGGGAGUACGACCGCAAGGUUAAAACUCAAAGGAAUUGACGGGGGCCCGCACAAGCGGUGGAGGAUGUGGUUUAAUUCGACGCAACACGAAGAACCUUACCUGGGCUUGAACUGAUAGGUAAACCCCUGGAAACAGGGACUGGUCGCAAGACCGACC
This 425-nucleotide ribosomal RNA is filed under the name uncultured bacterium. Its description in RNAcentral is "bacterial SSU rRNA". It matches the Rfam family "Bacterial small subunit ribosomal RNA", at positions 608 to 1029 of the family's 1533-position model. The record is from RNAcentral.